UUAAGAUACUAAGAGCAUACGGUGGAUGCCUUGGCGAUAUCUGCCGACGAAGGACGUGACAAGCUGCGAAAAGCUGCGGAGAGAUGCAAAUAAUCGGCGACCCGCAGACAUCCGAAUGGAGCAAUCCGGCUGUGAUGAUGCACAGCCAUCCAUGCCCAAGAGCAUGAGAAGGGAACCGGGCGAACUGAAACAUCUAAGUAACCCGAGGAAAAGAAAUCAAACGAGAUACCCCAAGUAGCGGCGAGCGAACAGGGAAGAAGCCCAAACCGGUGAAGGAAACUUUACCGGGGUUGAGGACCAUCAGACCCGCGAAGAACCUUAGCCGAAACUGUUGGGAAACAGUGCCGAAGACAGUGAAAGCCUGGUAGGCGAAAAAGAGAAACGCGGAGAUGGCACCAGAGUACCGCGGGACACGAGAAAUCCCGUGGGAAGCCGGGGGGACCACCCUCCAAGGCAAAACACAGAUAUCGACCGAUAGCGCAUAGUACCAUGAGGGAAAGGUGAAAAGCACCCCGGGAGGGGAAUGAAAGAGAACCUGAAACCGUAUGUUUACAAGCAGUCGGAGACCGCUUAAUAAUAAGGUCGACGGCGUGCCUAUUGAAGAAUGAACCGGCGAGUUACGAAGCCUGGCAAGGUUAAGCAGGAAAUGCGGAGCCGAAGCGAAAGCGAGUCUUAAGAGGGCGCAAGUCAGGAAGCGUAGACCCGAAACCACAGUGAUCUACCCAUGUCCAGGUUGAAACACAGGUAAAAAUGUGUGGAGGACCGAACCUAUAUCCGUUGAAAAGGGUUAGGAUGAGGUGUGGGUAGGGGUGAAAUUCCAAUCGAACGUGGAGAUAGCUGGUUCUCCCCGAAAUAGCUUUAGGGCUAGCCUCAGGGAAAAGAUUGCAGGCGGUAGAGCACUGAUCAGGAGAGGGACCUACCCGGUUACCAAACCCAGUCAAACUCCGAAUGGCUGCAAUCAUACCUGGGAGUCAGACUGCGACUAAUAAGGGCCGCAGUCAAAAGGGAAACAGCCCAGACCAUCAGCUAAGGUCCCCAAUGCCGUGCUAAGUGGCGAAGGAUGUGGCAUUUCAUAAACAACCAGGAUGUUGGCUCAGAAGCAGCCACCAUUUAAAGAGUGCGUAAUAGCUCACUGGUCGAGAGACGCUGCGCCGAAAAUGUCCGGGGCUCAAGCACGGAACCGAAGCUAUGGCAUGAUAGCAAUAUCAUGGGUAGGGGAGCGUUCUUAUAAGGAAGAAGCAUGACCGGAAGGACAUGUGGACGAAUAAGAAGUGAGAAUGCCGGUAUGAGUAUCGAAAAGAAAGGUGAGAAUCCUUUCCACCGAAAGCCCGAGGGUUCCUGAGCAACGAUCGUCGACUCAGGGUAAGUCGGGACCUAAGCCGAGGCGAGAAGCGUAGGCGAUGGACAACAGGUUGAAAUUCCUGUACCGGAUCAAGUCGAUCGAGCGAAGGAGCGACGCAGGAGGGCACAUGAUCGCGCGGCUGGAAGAGCGCGUCCAAGUGCGUAUGUUGCAGCAGAGGAAAACCCCUGCAGCUAAAAGCAGAGACAUGAUGGGGAGUUAAAGGAAACUUUGACGAACUCAUGGAUCCCACACUGCCAAGAAAAACUUCUAGCGAGACAAGAUCCGCCCGUACCGUAAACCGACACAGGUAGGCGGGGAGAGAAUCCUAAGGUGCGCGGGAAAACCCUCGUUAAGGAACUCGGCAAAUUGCAUCCGUAACCUAGGGAGAAGGAUGGCCCCCGGUCAGUGAAGAGCAGAAACGCUCAGAGCUAAAAGGGGCGGCAGAAAAGAGGCCCAAGCAACUGUUUACCAAAAACACAGGUGCCUGCGAAAGCGAAAGCUGAAGUAUAGGUGCUGACGCCUGCCCGGUGCCGGAAGGUUAAGGAGAGAAGUUAGCGAAAGCGAAGCAUCGAACUGAAGCCCCGGUGAACGGCGGCCGUAACUAUAACGGUCCUAAGGUAGCGAAAUUCCUUGUCGGGUAA
RNAcentral lists this ribosomal RNA (1983 nucleotides) under human metagenome. RNAcentral's name for it is "bacterial LSU rRNA". It matches the Rfam family "Bacterial large subunit ribosomal RNA", at positions 1 to 1979 of the family's 2925-position model. The record is from RNAcentral.